AUUGAACGCUGGCGGCAGGCCUAACACAUGCAAGUCGAGCGGAUGAAGGGAGCUUGCUCCUGGAUUCAGCGGCGGACGGGUGAGUAAUGCCUAGGAAUCUGCCUGGUAGUGGGGGAUAACGUCCGGAAACGGGCGCUAAUACCGCAUACGUCCUGAGGGAGAAAGUGGGGGAUCUUCGGACCUCACGCUAUCAGAUGAGCCUAGGUCGGAUUAGCUAGUUGGUGGGGUAAAGGCCUACCAAGGCGACGAUCCGUAACUGGUCUGAGAGGAUGAUCAGUCACACUGGAAGUGAGACACGGUCCAGACUCCUAGGGGAGGCAGCAGUGGGGAAGAUUGGACGCAGGGCGAAAGCCUGAUCCAGCCAUGCCGCGUGUGUGAAGAAGGUCUUCGGAUUGUAAAGCACUUUAAGUUGGGAGGAAGGGCAGUAAGUUAAUACCUUGCUGUUUUGACGUUACCAACAGAAUAAGCACCGGCUAACUUCGUG
RNAcentral lists this ribosomal RNA (484 nucleotides) under uncultured bacterium. Its description in RNAcentral is "partial 16S ribosomal RNA". It matches the Rfam family "Bacterial small subunit ribosomal RNA", at positions 30 to 507 of the family's 1533-position model. The record is from RNAcentral.